CUUGACCCUAAAGGGUCACUCAUUCAUUUCUCUAGGGUUUGGGAGAGGGAGCCGUACCGCCAAGCGGCAACUCUUCUCUCUCCUCAUCACCAUGGCUCAAAAUGGCAAGGUUUCAGUGUGCUUUUGAUUUUGGCAGUAUGGUUCAACUUUUAAGGGUAAUGAAUUUAUUGCUUCGACUUCUUUCAUCAAAUCCGACCCUCAAACACGGUACUCGGAGAUACAUCCCGAAGACGACACUCGGAAGGAACCCGAAGACUUCAUCGAAUCACUAUUUGUAUUUACUUUCCGCAUUUUUUAUAACUGUACAAAACAUAAACUCAUAGUAUAGUGAAAACUUUAUUUUUGGAAUGACGGGUUGAUAUAUUUA
Long non-coding RNA from Lycium barbarum (goji berry), 367 nucleotides. RefSeq lists it as uncharacterized. NCBI's taxonomy places the organism in Eukaryota, Viridiplantae, Streptophyta, Magnoliopsida, Solanales, Solanaceae. The transcript has 2 exons. The record is from RefSeq and is a predicted model, not a curated record.